UUUUGGGGGCAAUAAAAAGGGCACUAGGGUUUUUACAGGAGAGUGUCAGAGCCGCACAGAGAUCUGAUGCUAGACAAAAGGAUAUUUAGUGUUUCAACUCUGGGAUAGGGUCCCUGGUACUUGAGAAAAGAAAUCCUGUUUCAAUAUGAAAGCUGCUCUGACUGAAAGUGUUAAUUAGCAUUUUGAAUAUUACUUUGUAAUUGCUCUAAAAAGUACUCUUUGAAAUCAAAUGAUUAUAAAAACAAGAUCCUUAAAAGUCCCAUUACUUCAAAAUGUAGGGGGAAAAAUUUUUUUUUAAAUCAAAACAGUGGAAUUCUCCUAAGCACAUGAAAACUGAAGUUCUACUUUGAGAACCAUGGAGGCAGAACAGCAGUUAAGAACUGAAAACGAGGUAAAUUUUAAACUUGUCUUUGAACCCAAGCACCUAGCAGAGAAGAGUGUCUUCUUUGAAGGAGUAGAAAAGUUUGAUUUAUUUCACCAAAGUCGGGAGGCAGAAUCACUUAGUAAACUAACCAAAAUAAACGUCCCCUCCAAAUUAUCCAUGUCAGAUAAAAAUAUACCAGUCUCUACAAUAUCCAACAGAAUUGCAAAUAAGGCACUUAGCAUUUUAAAUUCUCAAUGCAUAUUUAUAGGAUAGAAUUCUCUGGUCUACCCUUCGAGCCACUCACGUCUGACUCUCUAAGAACUUAACCC
Molecule: long non-coding RNA, 693 nt
Filed under: Bos taurus (domestic cattle)
Lineage: Eukaryota; Metazoa; Chordata; Mammalia; Artiodactyla; Bovidae
Description: long non-coding RNA NONBTAT016361
Source: RNAcentral